UUUGCUUUCUCUCUCUGUCUAUAUGUGUAUGUGUGAGUAUAUGUGUACUUGGGGGAGGAUUUGAGAGUAAGUUGAAGCCAUUGUGACACUUCGCUGCUGAGUAUUUCAGCAACUGUCAUCUAAGAAUAAGGUCAUUCUCCUCUAUAACCACAACAUAAUUAUCACAUUUUGGAAAUUUAACAUUAAUAGAAUACCAUCAUGCAGAUUAAAUUCAUAUUUUCCCAAUUGUCUGAGUAAUGAAAUUUAUAGCUCCUUGUUUUAUUUUGUUUUGUUUUCCCUCAUCCAGUUUUGCUCCUCCCCCAUCCCCUGUUCUAGGUCUGGUUUGCUGCCUCUACUUCCUCAUUUCCACUCUGAUUUCAGAAAGGGCAGAAGUUUCAAGCUGUACAUCAAAACCUGUUUCUUCUAUCUGAGCACAGAGCUUGUCCUCAUUCCGGGCGCCCUUUGAAGUUGGGUGUGUGCCUGUGUGGCCAACUUCUGAUGGGUACAACCUUCAAGGUCAAGGUUUUUAAGAAGUAGAGAGAUCUCAUCUGCAUUCUCUCCUUUUACCAGCUGAAUGUGGACAAUGAAGAUAAGGCUCUAGGGAACAGUGGAGACACAAGAUAGAAGGAGCCCUGUGUCUUCAAAUCACUGGACAGAGGAAAGUGUCACGCCAACCAGGGACACAUGCCUUGGGUUGUUAGCUUAAUGAAUGUUUACAGUAAUCCCAGGAGGGAGGAAGAGUGGCUCAUUACUUCCUCACAUAAAUUUUGAGACAAUACAGAACUUCCCAAAGUCACAAAGCCUGGCUAGCUAGGGCUAACCCAUAAAUGAGGUAAGUAACCUUACUCACUCCUUCCAACUUCUCUUUUACUACACUUUCUCCUUUACUACAUCUUGAGAAAAUACCAGUCCUGGCUUAGGUGAAAGGGAGAGGGAGGGGGAUUUGUAUUCACUGCUCCUCACUGUUCAUUGAAAACUUGGGGAGUGUUGACAUUGUUGUGGGGUGAGGUAGGAGAGCUCAUAUCGCACCUGUUCAACAAUGAUAUAUUCAACAAAUGUAUAUUGUAUUCAACAUGUAUAUAUAAGAUAAAUAUAACACACACACAGAUAAAACAAAUAUAUGUACAUAUAUAUUGCUGGGUGCUGAGGACAACCUUGUUCUCAACAAGCUUAUGAUUUCCUUGGGGAAGGCUGAAGGGUGAACAAUUACAAUACACUGGAAAAGUGCUGUGAUGACAGGAGUGUGGGCCUCUGUGGGAAGGAACCUCUAACCCAAAUUUAAGGGCAAAUGGGGAAGGCUUCCUGGAGAAAGAGGCAUCUAUGCUGAGACCUAUAGGACAGGAGGGAACAAAACAGGAGAAGAAAGAAGGCAAGAAAAGAGAGUUCCAGGCUGCGGAAGCAGCACCACACUAGCCGUCUGUACCAGGAGAGAUGGUUACAUACGGCCCAUUGACACUACACUGGCUUCACCAGAUGAAGCGUUAAACAGCCCUUUCCAGAAAGUUUUCUCCUCUCUACUACAGGGCCUGAUUUUCUCGACAUUGAUCCAUUGACAAAUGUUUCUAUCAAUAAACCAAUCAGAUUUAUUAUUUACUACACAGAAGGCACCGGGUGAGGCCUAGAGGAGACUUCCAAGAGCUCUGAAACUCUGCUUCUAUUUUCAGAGUUUACUGAGUGUGGGUUUGGAACACUCUCAGAGGGAAAAAAAAAAAAGAGAGAGAGGGAGAGAGAGAGAAAUUUAAUAGUAAUCCAGACAUCAAAGGAGGAGGAAGAAUGAUAGGAGGCUGAAACACUCAGCCUGGCUUUAGACCCUCACUCAGCCACACCCUCACUAUGCACGCAUGCUUGAACUACUCAACCUUUCUGAACUCCGGCUCCCCAUUCAUCGAGUGGGAAAAAUAAAAGGUCCCUUUCAGGAAGAUGGCAGGGAUCAAAUAGGGACCGCCUGUACAGCACCUAGCAUGCUGCCCAGCACAGAGCAAGCUCUCGAUAAAUGUCUUAAUGAUGAUCAUAUUAUUAUAAUUUCCGUUAACUCGCCCCAUAAAUACUUGGGUGCCUCCUCCGUGGUGCCUCUUGUACUUUUUAUUUCAGGACUCCUGGGUUCAUGACACACCAACCAUCACCCCAGCACCUGACUCCUCUUCUUCCAUUGGACUCUGCCCUCAAGCCUGCAGCAUAUAGCCAAAGAAACACAACUCAUGAGCCCUGGGGAAGCUGGUUCACCUGUCUAGAAGCCGUCCUCAAAGUCUCCUGGGCACUUCCCCAAGUCUCCCCGGCCUGUUUGUCUCUGCACACACAGAUUGCUUUCUCCUGACCGCUUGCAGCCCUGUCUUUACUUGGCCAUUAAUUGUACAUCAUCCCUGACAUCUUUUACCGUGUUCUGCUAUAUUUUUAUUUAUUAUUGAUUCUACACAUGCCUAACAUUUGCUAAGUCCAAACCAUGUGCUGACAGCACUUAGCAAUGGUCUUGCAGAAGGGAUAAAAGACUAUUAAAUUGGGUUGAAACAUCUAGUUUUAAACCGUUAUAGAGUACAUGCUCAAACAGAAUCAGGAACCAAAGGCAUAUUUGUUUAAAACAAAAAAACAAAAAACAAAAAAUGCUAGCAUCUAGUCAAUUACCCAGUAAAAAACAAGACUCAUGUGAGAGUUUUAAAAUAACAACACUGAAGGCAACUCUUAUUUAUUUGUUUGUUUGUUUAAUUCAUGGGUGAUGGUGAGGAGGUCUCCUGUGUUUUUAACCCCGGUGCCUGGGGCAACCGGAGCACCAUUCGGAGAGGCUGGAGGAUGACGGGAGAGCAGGUAUGAUGGUGAUGGUGAGACACAGUAAGUUUAAGUUGCAGACAAGUUAAUUUCAAGGCCAUAGUAGGCCACACAAGUGAAAAUGUCCAAUCAAGCAGCUGGCAGUCUGGGAAUGGAGUUGAGGAGAGAGGACAGGGCAGAAGUGGAUAGAGGCAUCCUUCCCAGAAGAGAUGGCCACACUUUAAGCAGAAGUCUUUUGGUGCCAGACAUCCAAGGAAGGGGCACACAUUUACCAGGGUGAGUAACACAUCGCCAGGCCUCCUUGGACUUCUUUGCCCAAAUUGGAGAAAACUGACUGAGACCCAAGAGGUCUGGGGCUAAAGCCCCGGGGGCUUACCUUUGAAUUUUCCUGUUCUAUCUUAAAACAUCCUGUGAAUUUUCCAUUCCACUCCACAAUACACAAAUAAUAUUUUAAAUUACUUUUGAGUAAAACUGACUGUGAUGGAUGACAGGUGGCAUUUAGCCUGUGGCUUCACAUAGGACAAAUUAUCCCAGGCAUAAGAGGGAGUUCACACUUCAGCUUGAAAAGCAAGGCAUUCAGCAAGGAGCCAAGUGUUUGUUUUUGCUUUUGUGUUUUUACCCCUCUUUGGCAGGGAUCAGAUCAUGAGAUUGGCUAGCCAAUUAGCAGGGCAAGCAUGGGAGUGAGUGGAACCCCAGACAGGGAAGUUUUGAUGAGGGUGAGGCCAUCAGGAAAGGUCUGGUUGCUGAAAGGGUACGUAGCUGAAGGGAUUGCCUGAGUUACAUCACGUUUUGGGGCCUUACUGGACAGACUGAGGGAUGCCAGAAGGGAGAAUGAUGUGUUGGGAUCCUGGGUCUUGGCAGUGUUAUUGACCAUAAGUGGAAGGGGAGGGAGAAUGACCGGGGCUAGGCCUUCAGGGCGCUGUUUGCUUUGGGGCUAUGUGAACCAAGGACUCUAGAAGGUUCUCUGCAGGGCCACUAACAGGCUGAGAUUUCUCUCCAGACUGGAAACAGAUUGCUGGAGCUUCCGUCCCACGGCAUAUUUCACUAACAGAUUGGGUGCGAUCUUCCCUGAGAUGGGGGUGUUUCAAAAGCAGAGGAGGAAAGGGAAGCUGGAAGUGGGGGAAGGCAGCCUUCAGCUUCAGUGUGGCUUCAGGACAGUUCUUGCAGAUGUGGGCAGACCGACAACUGCCGGUUCUCUGAGCCUCUGGAGAUUUAGCAAACCUGGGACGAAGGUGGGGGCAAUGCAGAUUAUACAAGAGGAUCCCGAGGGCCUUCUGGACACAGAGCCUCGCUCAGGAUGGGUUUACUGUGCGUGUGAAAGGCACACAUUUCUUUCCUUGCACCAAAUUAAACCAAUUUGAUCAAAAUUUGUAAUGCAGAAGAGCAUAAUUAAAUUGAAGAUUUUAAUUAGGCACAGUUUUGAUGAAACUUAACGGAGCCGGCAGGAAUACUCUUGCUGUCUAUUAGACAUAAUCCUGCCUGGUGAAGAGCUCUUUAGUUGACUGUCUUUAAUGACUGCCCAGCACUCAGCCUCCUCACUGGUGCUCCAGCCAGCCUAGAAGCAGAGAGGUGAGAGGGGCCUGGGGAGAGGAAGGAGUGGGGUGUACAUCCACAGGGUGGCAGCUCUUCUCAAAGGAAUGGUGCUGCUAAACUUUGGGGGUACCCAAUUAUCCCCUUUUCAUCUGUCACAGUGGAGAAAUCGUGCAGAAUUAUGUUGAGGGCAGUUUCACAGUAAUGAGUCAGGAAGGAGAGGGCUCCCCACAGUCUGAGAGGAACCUCUGCUGGCCUUCUUUGCUAAUUGCUGGCACCUCUCAAUGACACUUCACAAA
Molecule: long non-coding RNA, 4568 nt
Organism: Panthera uncia (snow leopard)
Lineage: Eukaryota; Metazoa; Chordata; Mammalia; Carnivora; Felidae
Exons: 2
Source: RefSeq, a predicted model, not a curated record